Molecule: unclassified non-coding RNA, 723 nt
Filed under: Hevea brasiliensis (rubber tree)
Lineage: Eukaryota; Viridiplantae; Streptophyta; Magnoliopsida; Malpighiales; Euphorbiaceae
Source: RNAcentral
AUCAGAAUCAUAAUUCAAACCCGAAACAUCGAAGCUGGCUUCGUCAAUUUCACCUUCUUCACUCUUCUUUCUUUUCCUUUCCAUUUCUCCCCAAUUCCCCCCAAUUUCUCCUCCAUAUCUCAGCCCUGAUAUCUCCAAAUUCCCCAACUUAUCCCCACUUUGCCUUAACAAGGCUCGCUUCUGAAAUAGAGUUGGCGGUGAACCCACUGGAGGCAAAACCUCAAGUGGCCUCAAAACCUUAGCCCUGCUUAAAAACAGAGCAUUCCCAGUAGAACCAUCAAAACCCUCAAGUCCCACAUUACCAAACCCAGCACCUCCGAUUGCGGCAGCAUUAUCGGACACCGGAAGCAACUGGGAAGCUUGGAACUCGGGCCCACUAAAACCCAUCAAAUUGGAAGCCUGAUUCGGCUGGUAUUGGCCGAGAAAAGCAUUUUCGCAACCCAAAUCGAAGCCAUUGUCAAAAGGGUUGGUGACAUUGAGAAGGGAAGAGAAGCAGGAUUUGGGGGGAAAAAAAGGCUGGUGUGCCUGUGCUGGGUCUAGAGUAAAGGCCUGCGAGGGAGAGCAAGAAGAGGAAGAGUCCAUAGGCUGUAAGAGAAGAUUUUCAGGUGUGGGGUUAGCACAAAAACCAAGGUCUCUGAUUUCAUGGUGAUUUUGGAGAGCAUGGAGGUCAUGGUGAGGAGAUGGGUUGAUAUCAUACCAGUCGGUAUCAAGCAUAGAUUUGAA